GACUGUUUUGGUUUCUCGGUUUCUGACUUUCUGCUUCGCCCCCUUUGUACCUUUGCCUUCUGGUUUGAACUCUUGCUUAGCUCCUGACUGCUCUCUUUGCCUCGCCCCUUCGAAUACCGUGCUUUUGGACUGUGUGUUUUCUGUAUAUGUCUGUUAGGUGCGUAAGGAGUGACUGCCUUUUUGUUUCUGCGAUCGUGGUGUUUACUGUUGUUUUGGUUAGGGAGUUAGACUUAGUCUUUGUCAUUUCACUUCGUCUUGUUUUUGUUACCUUUAGAAUUAGCUUAGUUUUGCCUGGGUCACUCCCGAAGUUUGUUACACCUCGUGUUUGUUAACGUGUCUGAAAAAAUAUGAAAAACUACAAAAAAGAUCCCUUUGUUUCCCGUGCUCCCUUUUCCCGUUCCCUGGUUGUCUCGUCUUCCCCUCUCCCUCUCCUUUACCUUUCUGUCGAUCCUCAACCCUAGACUGCGGAUCGUAACAGAAAUUGGGGGCUCGUCCGUUCCUCUUUUCUGUUUUUCGGUGCGUGUGCCUCCUGGGUUUCUGGGCUUGUCUUCGCUUUUGUUGCCUUUCUGUCUGCUGUUUUCUACGUCACACUCUGUUCUCAUAAAAGGGGGAUUUCCUUUAAAUACAAGGACACAGAGGAGGAGACUCUCAAGAAACAAAGCUGGAAUGACAGAAACCACCUGUGGCUACGGAAGGUCCAGCACUGCCUGGAACAUGCCCAGAACUACGUGAGGCGUACUGGGACGGGCAGCCCAGUGCUGGGGAUACCCAUCAGGCAGCGCCAAGGCAUGCUGGACCAGUGCUAAAGAAUGAAGCGUUACGACUAAGACUCCGCAUCCAAGGGCCCGCCCUGAGAACGUGUCGUAGUUACCUGGACAUCGCCAGAACCCUCAGUCUCCCGCCCUGAGAACGUGUCGUAGUUACCUGGACAUCGCCAGAACCC
This is a non-coding RNA of Paramormyrops kingsleyae, 943 nucleotides long. NCBI's taxonomy places the organism in Eukaryota, Metazoa, Chordata, Actinopteri, Osteoglossiformes, Mormyridae. The record is from RefSeq and is a predicted model, not a curated record.